Molecule: long non-coding RNA, 248 nt
Filed under: Phoenix dactylifera (date palm)
Lineage: Eukaryota; Viridiplantae; Streptophyta; Magnoliopsida; Arecales; Arecaceae
Description: long non-coding RNA (PDAC_LNC005299)
Source: RNAcentral
GAGAGAGAGAGAGGAGGGAUUUGGUUGGCUUGAUACACGCCUGAAGCCACUCUUAUCUUUAAUCCCUUCUCUUUUUUGGUUUUGGUCUUGGUUUUCCAUCCCUCAACAUUACUCCUGAUCCAGCUGGGCCAUCAGGAAGAAAGGGGGAUUGGAAAUGGACUUCUUGGAGGGUGGAGAUUCUUUUAAUUUUCUCCUCUCGGUUUCUUCUCCCCUCUUGGGUGGUAGAGAGAGAAAAGGAGGGAGGGGGG